UAGAACAGAAUUGAGGGAUGAGAAGGUAGGGUUUUUAUUAUCUACGUAGUCCCAUCACUCAUUAGUGGAGAGUUGCUCCUGGAGUCUUAACUCCCUAGUGGUUUUCAUCUUCCAUGCUCUCUUCCCAGUGCACCCUAGGACCACAGAACACCCUCAGGCAGAGAGAAGCAGGCUGCCCUUGGCUGAACAGAAACCGUGAAGUAGGUAAUGAAGAUGCACAAGUUCGGGUCAAAUUCGCCCUCCGGAAAAACUGCAAAUUAAGAUGCUGUUGACGGAUACGCCGCAGGCUGUCUUAAGCGUCGUGAUCAAAAUCCAAAUAGGCCUCUCUUCACAUGGACUCUCAUCAUUCAGUAGCCCAGCCUGGACUUCCCCACAACAUGGCAGCUGGGGUCCAAGAGGGAAGAAGUGGAAGCUACUAGUCCUUUUAAGGCCUGUGCCACUGGAAGUCUCAAAAUGUCAUUCCCAUCUCAUUCUGUUGGUUAAAGCCAGUCACAAGCCUACAGGAGGCUUAGGUGACACACACCUCUACAUGCAGGAAUAGCGGUGUUUGUGACUGGAAUGGAUCACCCGGAAGGUGCCUGGAAGAAUUCCCCUUCUUAGACACCACUUCUCCAUGAUGUACUGUUCCCUUGUGUCAAGCAUUGCCCUCUUUGA
Diceros bicornis minor is the source of this 654-nucleotide long non-coding RNA. RefSeq lists it as uncharacterized. The record is from RefSeq and is a predicted model, not a curated record. Lineage: Eukaryota; Metazoa; Chordata; Mammalia; Perissodactyla; Rhinocerotidae. The transcript has 4 exons.